GGUUGGGCAUUCCGGCUCUUUUCAGUGAGCCGGCUCGUUCGGCUUUUCUCUCUCUUCUUUAUUGCCAUGUUAUAACCAGCAGCACACAGCAAUGCUGACCAUAUUUUCCUUUUAUGAGAGAUUUGCAUUCAGAAAUGAAAGCUGCCUCACUUUCGAGGGGCUGAUGCGGUUUCUUCUCUCAGUAAAUAUUUGUCCCAUUUUCGAGAAGACCCUCUCAGAGGGAACGGAUGUGGACAUUAUGCAGAGUCUCCCUGUCAUGACUUUAGUAAGUCUUGGGUAUCUUCAAAUCUUCAAUGAAGUGACAUGUAACCGACAUGUAAGAAGUGGUUACCCUUGAUGUCUAGCAGUCAGUGGUAAGGCAAACUGCAGUAGCUUUUUGGACUCUUUCCCAUACUGAAUCCUGUGUGCUCUCGUACAGUUGUGGAAUAAGUGAUUUUGAAAGGGUUUUCCUGCUUGGAAUUGUGUACAUUGGAUUUAGACUAUUGCAAUAAUGUAUAAAACCUCUGUCCUCCACGAUCGAAAAUGGCUGGAAAUCGGUGGCAAUCAUUUUAGCCAAUGCAAUAUCAAUUUGGCCUUGUUUUGCUACAGACAGACUUUGGCAUAAACUGGUCCAUAGAAGACUGCGUUGCUGUGGGUCGCGGAGUAGGCCUACUUGACUGAGUGGAUACGUCUCCACGUGUGGAGGUGCAGGCUCCACCACUAUCACUAGCAGGCCCGCUAGUUUCUCGAAGCUCUGCUACAGCUAGCUUCACAGUUGGGUGCACAGUUCGCAUAUGCCGGUGUAGGUUGUGCGUAGAAACGGCUUUAUAUGCGAUUUUGAUGUUACACAAAAAUUCAAAAGGCAGCUUGAAAACUUGAUUGCUGACUAGCAAAACAUGUUGGGUCUAUGUCAACAAUGGACAAAUGAAACAAAUACCAAAACAUCGGUUUUGGGUGGAAUUGUCCUUUAAGGAUGCUUUCGUGAAAAAGUGUUUGAUCACAUCCAACUACGUUGAUCAUUUUAAUUGGCUGAUAUGGAAUUUGUUACCGGAUAUAAUCAAGGUGCUCAGCUGGUCGUACUUAGCAUAGGGCCUAUUUGGUCAGGUUUGCCUAUGCGAAAAGCUAGCCAUUUAAUACCAAAGGUCUGAACCUCGGGUCUAAGCAAAAGUUUGCGAGUAUUACUCUCUUCUCUAAUACGUUGACAGAGAUGAACUACUUGAUGACCCAAAUGAGAAAAACAGCCCAUGAUCUGAGGACUGUUCUGACCACACCCGGGGGCAGCAGGGAAACAAUGUGAACAAAGUUGUCAUCCCACAGAGCUGUGAGGGACAGAGCAUCUCUUAUGCCAACUUGCCAGUUCAUGUGUCACAGAUGGUGUCACAGGAGGUAGAGGUGAGGUCACAACAUCAGGCCAUUACACAUUGUAGUUGCUGCUACAGGCACAUUAAACGUAUCCUUUCAGGCAAAGUAUGUAUAUAGCCUGGGUUCGGACAGACAACCUGAAAUUUGGCCUAAGGGUUACUUUAGCCUGGUUAAACCAAACCGAAUGCUGCACCCACAGCUAAAACAAUGGUAAGCGCAGUCUGGUAUAACCAGGAUAGGGGUACUUAUGAUGAAAGGAGAUACACAAUAUCCAAUCGUUGCCGGUCAAAAAAAUACAGCAAUGCAAAUAAAGUCUCUCUAAAAUGAAACAAGGUCUGUCUCUGUCACAACAACUUUGCAAUGUACUCUGAGAAUGGACACUUUGUUUUGUCUUGAACUUUAUCAGGAUGCUAACUGCACCUUCCUCCUGGGGUCUUAGAGUGCAGAGGGACCUGUACAAGGGGAUCUCAGAGAUCAUGGACUUCAAAAAUUACAUCUCAGCCAUGCUAAGUGUGCUGUUUGAUAGGGAGACUCUGGGCACACACAGUCUGUAGGGCAGGAGGUGUAGCAUUGCUAAAGUGUAGACCCAGAAAUCUCAACUCACCCCUGACAUCAUGAGAGCCCUUCUAAGUACUGUACCUUGUAUCUUUCAUAUUGCUGUCUAUGUUAUUCAACGAUUAUUUAAUCAGGUUGUCUCAUUGAGGUCGGAGUCAUAGCUCUAUGGGGAGUUCAUAAAGUUCUGGAUGUAGAAAACCCUUACAUUCCCUAUCUUGAACACUAACUCCCAGCCCUCUCUAACUCUUGAAACAAGUAGCCCCAACUCCAUUGUUGACAGGCUACUCUGUUUGCACCUCUGGAGCUCUCCAGUUACAUGCCACACCUAGUGACCUCUGAUUCGGACAUUUGACCCCCCCAUCACUACCUCUGACCCUGCCCACCUGCAACAGGCCGUCCAACAGGCAGGUAGGACCGGGAUAAGUAUAAGAGCACGGUCCAGCCCAGUCUGGCCUUAGUCUUCAGCAAGUAGUGGCGGAAUGAGGAGCUCUCUCAUAAACCUCUGCUAUGCACACCAACAGCUGGGCCACAGCCCAGGUACCUUUGCCCCUGCACCCCUGGACUCUCCCAACACACACUAGGGUUAGUGCGCCACUGACCUAUGUAAGUGAAAUCUACUGGGACAAGGCACAGUCAUUUAUAUAUGUUGUACAUGUAUAGUUUGACUGUUAGUUAUUAAUAUGUAACAACCUGUCUAUGGUCCAUUGUUGCAUAACCUAAGAUGACUGCCACCAUGGUCAUAUCCUAAAGGCCUAUUGUUUACAUAUUAGAAUAAUGACCUAGCAUACUAGCAUUUUGCUAGCCGCUAAUUGUAUACUGCCUAUAUCACUGUGCUAUGCCUCACUGUGUAGCCUAGCGUGCUAGCUGCUGUUGUAUAUAUUACUGUGUGCUAUGUUAGCCAUACUAGCCAACAUUGCUAGCGUUGCUGAUGCUAGUUGCUUUGUAUAUACCGUGCACUGUAUUUAGCCUACUAACUCAUUGCCUAGCCCAGUGCGCUAGGCAAUUUCCAAUGCAUAGCUACUGCCUUAGCUAUUGUAUAUAUUGUCUCCACUGUUUGCUAUGUUUAGCUUGUUGGCAUGUUAAUGCCGCCCUUUAGCAAUGUAGCUAUGUAUGUAAGCCAUUGUUUUAUAAUACUUUUUAAUAUUUGUAGCUACUUUUUAAGUAAAUACCUGCAGUCAACUUGUGCAAUACGUUAGAAAAUAAAGAACAUUGCGUUCUUCAUUUCACCUGUCACAUUAUUAUGUAGCUUACAAUAGUACAGUCACGUCACAUGGUGUUUGUUUACAAUUACACAACGAUGAGAGACCGGAGCCUUGUGAGUCACUCACUGUAGAGCAGCAUGCGCCAGGUGAUCUAAUUACAGUACGGAAUUCACAACUAAAUGUUUGCCAGCUAGAUAUCUUAUAAGAUAACUGUCUAAAAUCUACUAAAUGCUUUGCAGUUGUCCAUUUGAUUUGCUAAUUUUGUAGCUAGUUAGCUUUCUGGCUAAGUGUUAAGCUUCUUCCAAAAUCAAGCAUUCGCUUGGUAACAGCAGAGAAUUCCCUCCUGUUUCAAGAGCCUUGUUGGCUAAUAUUUGUUUUGUGUGUGCAGCAAACUGUUAGUAGCAGUUUUGAGUUACUUGUAUACUUUUAUAGUUUAGGUCAGAAACUGUACAAAAUGUUUGAAAUGCACUCGUUAGCAUUUAGUUAGCAUUCUCUAUGAGGUUUCCGUAGUACUUGUUACCAUUUUGUUAGCGUUCUAGUAAGUGACGUUUUUUUGGGCUUAGAAUAUUAAUACUUUUUAAAUAAAUACCUGCAGUCAACUUGUGCACUAGGUAAUAGAUAAAGCAGAUCGCGUUCAUCAUUUCACCCGUUUUUUCAUUAAAGCUUACCGGUACUAGUUUCCCAAAACAAUGGUUUGUGUCACGCCUGCUCCCGCUGCACUUCAUUACGCACACCUGUCACCAUCAUUACUCGCAGCUGCGCAAUAUUGAACUCACCUGGACUCCAAUACUUUGUUGAUUACCCCCUCUUUAUCGGUCUGCUCCUCACAUUAUUCCCUGUGUCAGAAUUUAUGUCGUUAUUUUUCCCCUGUCGAGACACUGUUUCUGUCCUUUUUCAUGUCCGUUGUUCAUUAAAUGUUCUCCCUGUACCUGCUUCUCAUCUCCAGUGUCUAUCCUCACGUAAUGCUGACACCAAAAUUGGAAGCAUCUGGGAGGCCUUAUUUUUUGUUGGUGAUGUCGGGUCCGGGUGCCGUCGUCGAUGGAACCGGGGGUGCCUCAGCUAGCUCGUCGUGCUUCCACACCCUAGCUGGCUCGAGAGAUUUUUCUUGCCCCGGUGGGCUUGGCAGGUACCCAUUCUACGUCAUUCUUCAGCCGGCCAUUAGGCUCCCACACCUCAGCUGGUUCAUCAGGCUCCCACGUCUCCGCGGGAUCGUCAGGCUCCCACGCCUCAGCCGGUUCGCCAGGCUCCCACGUCUCUGCUGGUUCGUCAGACUUCUAUGCCCCCCGUCAGGCUCGCCCAGGUGGGAUGCCGGGUGGUGCCCCUAGAGGGGGGAUGCUGUCACGCCUGCCCCCGCGCCCCCUCUCUGGCGCUCGAGGGAGCCAGGCUGCCCUUCAUUACACUCAUCUGUCACCAUCAUUACGCACCGCUGCGCAAUAUUGGACUCACCUGGACUCCAUUACUUUGUUGAUUUCCCCCUCUUUAUCUGUCUGCUCCUCACGUUAUUCCCUGUGUGAGCAUUGAUGUUGUUUUUUUGCCCCUGUCCAGAUGCUGUUCCUGUCCUGUUUCAUGUCCGUUGUUCAUUAAAUACUCUCCCUGUACCUGCUUCUCGUCUCCAACUUCGAUCCUCACAGGUUUGAGCCAGUCACGUGUGUUUGUUUACUAAGAGGCACAAGGAGCAAAAUGGUAGCUUCGUGAGCAAGUGAGGAUAACAUUUGGUGAGGAUUACAGUGUGAUCUGAGCUGCCGUCAGAACAAAGUUGAAUAAUGAAGACAAACGGUUGACUUGGGAUACGUUAAAACAUAACUAUAUACCAGGUUAGAAUCACACAAUUGUUGACAUUGCAAGUACUGUAAAUGCAGUGUUUUGUUCCUCCAACAGAUGUCAGUAUGUAGCAGUUUAGGAAGUCACUUUUGAUCAGAAGGAUUUUGACUAUCAAAUCAAAUCACAUUUUAUUUGAAACAUGCACCGAAUACAACAGGUGUAUGCCACACUCUGAUCUGUUUCACCUGUCUUUGUGCUUGUCUCCACCCCCCUCCGGGUGUCGCCCAUCUUCCCAAUUAUCUCCAGUGUAUAUAUACCUGUGUUCUCUGUUUGUCUGUUGCCAAUUCAUUUAGUUUGUCAAGCCUACCAGCGGUUUUCCCCUUGCACCUGUCUGUUUCAAGUUCUUGUUUUCCUGGUUUUGACCAUUUCUGCCUGCCCUGACCCUGAGCCUGCCUGUCGUUCUGUACCAUGUCAUAUCACACUGGACUAUUGACCUCUGCCUGCCCUGACUCUGGGACUGCCUGCCGUUCUGUACCUUUUGGACUCUGAUCUGGAUUACCGACCUCUGCCUGCCCUUGAACUGUCAUUUUGCCUGCCCCCUGUUCUUGUAAUAAACUUGUGUUACUUCGACACUGUCUGCAUCUGGGACAUCUCCUGAGCCUUGACAGUACGAACUGGCCAUGACUGACCCAGCAGACUUGGAUCAGCUCCACAAUGCCAUCUCCUCCCAAGGAGCCACCAUUGGAGAGCACGAGGAGAUGCAUCGUGGUCUGAUGGAAGGGUUCCAGACCUUAGCAGAACGCCAUGACCGAGCAUUGAACACAUUGCUGGAGCAGAGCAAUUCCGCUGGUUGUCUGUUAGGCAGCCUACCACGACGGUAACCUCCCAGCCCCUCAGUAACCUGGCUGUUAGCAGCGCCGUCUCCCCGCCUCCCCGGCCACCCGCUUACCUCCCCCAGAACGAUUCGAUGGAGAGUCGGGCACCUGGUGGAGAUUAUAACAGAACAUGGCCAAUAUGUUCAAAUGUUCAUAGAUGACCUGCAGGGUCAAAUAAUAAUAAUCACAGUGGUUGUCGAGGGUGCAACAGGUCAGCACCUCAGGAGUAAAUGUCAUUUGGCUUUUCAUAGCCGAUCAUUCAGAGUAUCUCUACCGCUCCUGCUGUCUCUAGAGAGUUGAAAACAGCAGGUCUGGAACAGGUAGCACAUCCAGUGAACAGGUCAGGGUUCCAUAGCCGCAGGCAGAACAGUUGAAACUGAGCAGCAACACGGCCAGGUGGACUGGGGACAGCAAGGAGCCGUCAGGCCAGGUAGUCCUGAGGCAUGGUCCUAGGAAUGAUUUAAGAGUACUGUAGAUUAUAUAUAUUAUAGAUUUUAUUUGUGAUAUAUUCACUCACAUAGUAGCCUUAAAAACACAUUGUACUAUAAGGAUUGUGCCUGUUAAAUAAAUGUCUUUCCAAUUCCCACUCAUCUCACAAUUUUCAGUUUGGUUUUCACUGAUGCUAUUAAAUGACUUCUUGCAACUGUUUAUCCAAAUAAAAUAAAGCAUGUUGAACCCUUAA
Salvelinus fontinalis (brook trout) is the source of this 6416-nucleotide long non-coding RNA. RefSeq lists it as uncharacterized. Lineage: Eukaryota; Metazoa; Chordata; Actinopteri; Salmoniformes; Salmonidae. The record is from RefSeq and is a predicted model, not a curated record. The transcript is spliced from 2 exons.